Molecule: ribosomal RNA, 253 nt
Filed under: uncultured bacterium
Lineage: Bacteria
Description: partial 16S ribosomal RNA
Rfam family: Bacterial small subunit ribosomal RNA
Source: RNAcentral
GACGUAGGGUGCGAGCGUUGUCCGGAUUUAUUGGGCGUAAAGAGCUCGUAGGCGGCUCGUCGCGUCGUCCGUGAAAACUCUGGGCUUAACCUGGGGCUUGCGGUCGAUACGGGCGGGCUAGAGUUCGGUAGGGGAGACUGGAAUUCCUGGUGUAGCGGUGAAAUGCGCAGAUAUCAGGAGGAACACCGGUGGCGAAGGCGGGUCUCUGGGCCGAUACUGACGCUGAGGAGCGAAAGCGUGGGGAGCGAACAGG